Molecule: ribosomal RNA, 253 nt
Filed under: uncultured bacterium
Lineage: Bacteria
Description: partial 16S ribosomal RNA
Rfam family: Bacterial small subunit ribosomal RNA
Source: RNAcentral
UACGGAGGAUGCAAGCGUUAUCCGGAUUCAUUGGGUUUAAAGGGUGCGCAGGCGGAACUAUAAGUCAGUGGUGAAAGCCUACAGCUCAACUGUAGAAUUGCCAUUGAUACUGUAGUUCUUGAGUAUAUUUGGAGUGGGCGGAAUGUAUCAUGUAGCGGUGAAAUGCUUAGAUAUGAUACAGAACACCAAUCGCGAAGGCAGCUCACUAAACUAUAACUGACGCUCAUGCACGAAAGCGUGGGGAUCAAACAGG